ACCACUUAAAAGAACCAGUUUAGGGCUAACACUGAUGUUAACCCUAAGGAAGAAUGCAAAGCUGUGUUGGCAAGUGAUAGAAGAAGGGCUGAAAGGGAAGUUGUAGAGAUUGGAAGCAGAUGAAAAGGAGGAAGAGAAGCCAUUGAGAUUAGGAGCAGUGAAGGGGAAGAAGAAGAGGAAUCAAGAGUUAGUCAUAAUGAGCAGGAAAGAGAAAUUUAUAAUCAAAUGAAUAUUGUGCCUUCAAUUAUUAAACAGAUUCCUGCAAGGAUGAAAUUUUAUCUUGGAGAUAUGAUAGAUUUUGAUGAAGAUGAUGAUGAGCAGGAAUUUGAGAUUCAACCUCUGAAGAAUUAUCUGCUUAAAGUAAAAGAUCCAGGUUGCUUGAAUUUGGCAU
This 391-nucleotide long non-coding RNA is filed under the name Vigna radiata. RNAcentral's name for it is "long non-coding RNA (VRAD_LNC001043)". The record is from RNAcentral. Lineage: Eukaryota; Viridiplantae; Streptophyta; Magnoliopsida; Fabales; Fabaceae.